Molecule: ribosomal RNA, 457 nt
Filed under: bacterium fme08x95p512
Lineage: Bacteria
Description: bacterial SSU rRNA
Rfam family: Bacterial small subunit ribosomal RNA
Source: RNAcentral
GCUACACAUGCAGUCGAGCGGCAGCACAGAGGACUUGUUCCUUGGGUGGCGAGCGGCGGACGGGUGAGUAAUGCCUAGGAAAUUGCCCUGAUGUGGGGGAUAACCAUUGGAAACGAUGGCUAAUACCGCAUGAUGCCUACGGGCCAAAGAGGGGGACCUUCGGGCCUCUCGCGUCAGGAUAUGCCUAGGUGGGAUUAGCUAGUUGGUGAGGUAAUGGCUCACCAAGGCGACGAUCCCUAGCUGGUCUGAGAGGAUGAUCAGCCACACUGGAACUGAGACACGGUCCAGACUCCUACGGGAGGCAGCAGUGGGGAAUAUUGCACAAUGGGCGCAAGCCUGAUGCAGCCAUGCCGCGUGUAUGAAGAAGGCCUUCGGUUGUAAAGUACUUUCAGUCGUGAGGAAGGUGGUGUUGUUAAUAGCAGCAUCAUUUGACGUUAGCGACAGAGAGCACCGGCUA